Molecule: ribosomal RNA, 490 nt
Filed under: uncultured bacterium
Lineage: Bacteria
Description: partial 16S ribosomal RNA
Rfam family: Bacterial small subunit ribosomal RNA
Source: RNAcentral
AUUGAAUGCUGGCGGCAGGCCUAACACAUGCAAGUCGAACGGUAACAGGAAGAAGCUUGCUUCUUUGCUGACGAGUGGCGGACGGGUGAGUAAUGUCUGGGAAACUGCCUGAUGGAGGGGGAUAACUACUGGAAACGGUAGCUAAUACCGCAUAACGUCGCAAGACCAAAAAGGGGGACCUUCGGGCCUCUUGCCAUCGGAUGUGCCCAGAUGGGAUUAGCUAGUAGGUGGGGUAACGGCUCACCUAGGCGACGAUCCCUAGCUGGUCUGAGAGGAUGACCAGCCACACUGGAACUGAGACACGGUCCAGACUCCUACGGGAGGCAGCAGUGGGGAAUAUUGCACAAUGGGCGCAAGCCUGAUGCAGCCAUGCCGCGUGUAUGAAGAAGGCCUUCGGGUUGUAAAGUACUUUCAGCGGGGAGGAAGGGAGUAAAGUUAAUACCUUUGCUCAUUGACGUUACCCGCAGAAGAAGCACCGGCUAACUCCGUG